AGAAAGGCAAAUCCUGGGUUUCCGUGUCCAACUUUGACUGUCCGUCUUAUAUGAAUUUUUUUAUAAUUCGUAUUUUUAUUGUUGUUAGAUGAUAAAACAUGAUUAAUAUUUUAUGCGUGACUUGUAUUUUUAAUUUUUUUUCAUAUUUUUUUGGAAUAAGACGGACGUUCAAACGUUGGGCACGAAAACUAGGGUUUAUCUUUUU
Oryza glaberrima (African rice) is the source of this 205-nucleotide non-coding RNA. The record is from Rfam. Lineage: Eukaryota; Viridiplantae; Streptophyta; Magnoliopsida; Poales; Poaceae.